This is a long non-coding RNA of Homo sapiens (human), 1314 nucleotides long. Ensembl annotates it as Pvt1 oncogene. Its record names the gene PVT1. Lineage: Eukaryota; Metazoa; Chordata; Mammalia; Primates; Hominidae. The record is from Ensembl.
GAGGUAAAGUUCCGCUUUUAUGAAAUCAAGGGUAGGCACCAUCAGCAUGACCUAUCACUGAUGUUGACUUUGAUUACCUGGCUGCUGUAGUGGUUGUCAGGUUUGUCCACUUUAAAGAUACUUUUGUGUUUUUGUUCUUUCUUAACUCCCUUUUUAUAUUAAACUCUUCAGAAGGAAGUCACUGUGCAUAGCCAUCCCCUAAGAAGAGGGCAUUCCUGCUCUUCCUUCUCCAUGGCUAGAGGAUCUACAUGAACUAUUUAGAUUUUUUCUACCUGGGAGAUUUAACUCCUCUCUCCUAUUUAUUUAUUUAUAUAUCAGCAUGGACUUGCAGGCCAACAGAGAUUUUGAGAAACACAUUGAAGGAUCUGUUAACACUUGAUAUACCCAAUAAAAGCAGUGGUUGUGCCAGUGCUGAUCUGUCUUGAUGUGAAUGUGAACAAUGGGAACCUGAGCUGAGCAGUUAAUGCUAGGGUGACAGAAACUGGACCUCUCCCAAGACAUGUGACAGAGUAAUACAGCAGCCAACUUCUUCGCCAAAUUAAAGUUUUACAAGAUUUAACCUGUCAUCAAGACCUGGGAUUUUGGUGGACAACCAUGUCGUGAUGAUGAUGAUGACGACGAUGACAGCGAUGGCGGUGGUGAAAGAGGAAGACAUCCCUUCAUUUCAUGUAGCAAUCUGCUUCUUGCUGGGAUUUCAAAUCCAUUUUCAUUGUUGAUCCUGAGAACAAGCCUUGGAGGCGGAAUCAUUUUGAAAUCCCAGGAAACCGGGCCUUAAGAGACGGCUGAAGACCCGAGCAGUCAUUCGGUGGAGUCUGUGAGGCCCAGAGCUGAGGAGGAGGACAUGGGUGUAGAAACGGUCGCAGCCCACACUGCUGUGCCUACAGCUCUGGAUCCUGACUGUAAGGACAGAAUAACGGGCUCCCAGAUUCACAAGCCCCACCAAGAGGAUCACCCCAGGAACGCUUGGAGGCUGAGGAGUUCACUGAGGCUACUGCAUCUUGAGACUCAGGAUGAAGACCCAGCUUGGGGCUGUCAAAGGUUUUUUGCAUGUCUGACACCCAUGACUCCACCUGGACCUUAUGGCUCCACCCAGAAGCAAUUCAGCCCAACAGGAGGACAGCUUCAACCCAUUACGAUUUCAUCUCUGCCCCAACCACUCAGCAGCAAGCACCUGUUACCUGUCCACCCCCACCCCUUCCCCCAAACUGCCUUUGAAAAAUCCCUAACCUAUGAGCUUUGAAUAAGAUGAGUACGAACUUCAUCGCCCACGUGGCGUGGCCGGCCUCGUGUCUAUUAAAUUCUUUUUCUACUACA